UACGUAGGGUGCAAGCGUUGUCCGGAAUUAUUGGGCGUAAAGGGCUCGUAGGCGGUCCGUCACGUCGGGAGUGAAAUCCUGGGGCUUAACCCCAGAACUGCUUCCGAUACGGGCAGACUAGAGGUAGGUAGGGGAGACUGGAAUUCCUGGUGUAGCGGUGAAAUGCGCAGAUAUCAGGAGGAACACCGGUGGCGAAGGCGGGUCUCUGGGCCGAAACUGACGCUGAGGAGCGAAAGCGUGGGGAGCAAACAGG
RNAcentral lists this ribosomal RNA (253 nucleotides) under uncultured bacterium. Its description in RNAcentral is "partial 16S ribosomal RNA". It matches the Rfam family "Bacterial small subunit ribosomal RNA", at positions 524 to 776 of the family's 1533-position model. The record is from RNAcentral.